GGGGGGUAAUGGCUCACCAAGGCAUCGACGGGUAGCUGGUCUGAGAGGAUGAUCAGCCACACUGGGACUGAGACACGGCCCAGACUCCUACGGGAGGCAGCAGUGGGGAAUCUUGCACAAUGGGCGCAAGCCUGAUGCAGCAACGCCGCGUGCGGGAAGAAGGCCUUAGGGUUGUAAACCGCUUUCAGUAGGGAAGAAAAUGACGGUACCUACAGAAGAAGGUGCGGCCAACUACGUGCCAGCAGCCGCGGUAACACGUAGGGGGCAAGCGUUGUCCGGAUUUAUUGGGCGUAAAGGGCUCGUAGGCUGUUCAGUAAGUCAGGUGUGAAAACCCAAGGCUCAACCUUGGGACGCCACUUGAUACUGCUGUGACUAGAGUCCGGUAGAGGAGAUUGGAAUUCCUGGUGUAGCGGUGAAAUGCGCAGAUAUCAGGAGGAACACCAACGGCGAAGGCAGAUCUCUGGGCCGGUACUGACGCUGAGGAGCGAAAGCAUGGGGAGCAAACAGGAUUAGAUACCCUGGUAGUCCAUGCCGUAAACGUUGGGCACUAGGUGUGGGGUCUAUUCAACGGAUUCCGUGCCGCAGCUAACGCAUUAAGUG
Molecule: ribosomal RNA, 600 nt
Filed under: uncultured Actinomycetes bacterium
Lineage: Bacteria; Bacillati; Actinomycetota; Actinomycetes
Description: bacterial SSU rRNA
Rfam family: Bacterial small subunit ribosomal RNA
Source: RNAcentral